This 480-nucleotide ribosomal RNA is filed under the name uncultured bacterium. RNAcentral describes it as "bacterial SSU rRNA". It matches the Rfam family "Bacterial small subunit ribosomal RNA", at positions 30 to 506 of the family's 1533-position model. The record is from RNAcentral.
UUGAACGCUGGCGGCAUGCUUUACACAUGCAAGUCGAACGGUAACAGGCCGCAAGGUGCUGACGAGUGGCGAACGGGUGAGUAAUGCAUCGGAACGUGCCCAGUCGUGGGGGAUAACGCAGCGAAAGCUGUGCUAAUACCGCAUACGACCUGAGGGUGAAAGCGGGGGCUCGCAAGACCUCGCGCGAUUGGAGUGGCCGAUAUCUGAUUAGCUAGAUGGUGAGGUAAAGGCUCACCAUGGCGACGAUCAGUAGCUGGUCUGAGAGGAUGAUCAGCCACACUGGGACUGAGACACGGCCCAGACUCCUACGGGAGGCAGCAGUGGGGAAUUUUGGACAAUGGGCGAAAGCCUGAUCCAGCCAUUCCGCGUGAGUGAAGAAGGCCUUCGGGUUGUAAAGCUCUUUCAGACGGAAAGAAAUCGGGCGCGUGAAUAGCGUGCCUGGAUGACGGUACUGUCAGAAGAAGCACCGGCUAACUACGU